UUCCGGUUGAUCCUGCCGGAGGUUACUGCUAUCGGUGUUCGCCUAAGCCAUGCGAGUCAUAUGUAGCAAUACAUGGCGUACUGCUCAGUAACACGUGGAUAACCUGCCCUUGGGUCCGGCAUAACCCCGGGAAACUGGGGAUAAUUCCGGAUAACGCACAUAUGCUGGAAUGCUUUAUGCGUCAAAUGGAUUCGUCUGCCCAAGGAUGGGUCUGCGGCCUAUCAGGUAGUAGUGGGUGUAAUGUACCUACUAGCCGACAACGGGUACGGGUUGUGAGAGCAAGAGCCCGGAGAUGGAUUCUGAGACAUGAAUCCAGGCCCUACGGGGCGCAGCAGGCGCGAAAACUUUACAAUGCGGGAAACCGUGAUAAGGGGACACCGAGUGUCAGCAUCAUAUGCUGGCUGUCCAGGUGUGUAAAAUACACCUGUUAGCAAGGGCCGGGCAAGACCGGUGCCAGCCGCCGCGGUAACACCGGCGGCCCGAGUGGUGAUCGUGAUUAUUGGGUCUAAAGGGUCCGUAGCCGGUUUGGUCAGUCCUCCGGGAAAUCUGAUAGCUCAACUAUUAGGCUAUCGGGGGGUACUGCCAGGCUUGGAACCGGGAGAGGUAAGAGGUACUACAGGGGUAGGAGUGAAAUCUUGUAAUCCCUGUGGGACCACCUGUGGCGAAGGCGUCUUACCAGAACGGGUUCGACGGUGAGGGACGAAAGCUGGGGGCACGAACCGGAUUAGAUACCCGGGUAGUCCCAGCCGUAAACGAUGCUCGCUAGGUGUCACGCAUGGCGCGACCGUGUCUGGUGCCGCAGGGAAGCCGUGAAGCGAGCCACCUGGGAAGUACGGCCGCAAGGCUGAAACUUAAAGGAAUUGGCGGGGGGAGCAC
This 876-nucleotide ribosomal RNA is filed under the name uncultured Methanosarcina sp. RNAcentral describes it as "bacterial SSU rRNA". It matches the Rfam family "Archaeal small subunit ribosomal RNA", at positions 1 to 879 of the family's 1478-position model. Lineage: Archaea; Methanobacteriati; Methanobacteriota; Methanomicrobia; Methanosarcinales; Methanosarcinaceae. The record is from RNAcentral.